RNAcentral lists this small nuclear RNA (184 nucleotides) under Myotis davidii. RNAcentral's name for it is "U2 spliceosomal RNA". It matches the Rfam family "U2 spliceosomal RNA". Rfam says of the family: U2 is a small nuclear RNA (snRNA) component of the spliceosome (involved in pre-mRNA splicing). Complementary binding between U2 snRNA (in an area lying towards the 5' end but 3' to hairpin I) and the branchpoint sequence (BPS) of the intron results the bulging out of an unpaired adenosine, on the BPS, which initiates a nucleophilic attack at the intronic 5' splice site, thus starting the first of two transesterification reactions that mediate splicing. Lineage: Eukaryota; Metazoa; Chordata; Mammalia; Chiroptera; Vespertilionidae. The record is from Rfam by way of RNAcentral.
AUAGCUUCUCGGCCUUUUGGCUAAGAUCAAGUGUAGUAUCUGUUCUUAUCAGUUUAAUACCCGAUCAGGGCAUGUGCCUGGGUUGCGGGCUCGAUCCCCAGUGUGGGGCAUGCAGGGGACAGCCAAUCCAUGAUUCUCUCUCAUUUUUUUUCUUUUUCUUUUAAUUAUUUUUUUGUUAUUUAUU